This is a long non-coding RNA of Poecile atricapillus (Black-capped chickadee), 6659 nucleotides long. RefSeq lists it as uncharacterized. Lineage: Eukaryota; Metazoa; Chordata; Aves; Passeriformes; Paridae. The record is from RefSeq and is a predicted model, not a curated record. The transcript has 5 exons.
UUUGUUUGUGUUCCGGGCAUGGCGGAGCCGGCGGCCGCGGGCACCCCCCGCUCCACCCGGCCCUCCCCGGCUGAGGGGUUUGUGCGAGGUAACUGUGGGUCUUCUGCAAUAGCAGAGUGAUGAAAUGACACUUGAAUAGAUUCAUGAGAACCUAGGGAGUGUGACCUGCCAGACAAGUCUGCCCAAAUCCAAGAUCACCUAUGUCUUUGUCAUUCCUUGACAGAAAACUGUUGAAACUCUUCCUGGAUACUGAAUGAUGGCUACAGUUUUUCCUUGUGGAUCAUGAUUUGUAAAUCUCUGAGAUGUCUCACUGUCCUGCAGCCUCCUUCUUUGGUCCCCUUUUCCAAUGAUUAUUCUGAAGGGCACGAUUUUGCACUUCCUGUUGAAACUUUGGCCUGUGACAGCUUAGCUGGCUGAAUUGCAGCAGACAAGUUACUGGAGACUGAACAGAAGGAAUGUGAGAAGGAGCCAUUGAAGAUUUUGUAGUGAAACACAGUCCCUUUGUCCAGAGCUGUGGUGGUGCCACAUUGCUGUGACCCCAUUGCACCAGUCAGCACUGCAGGAUCCACUUCCCCAGGGCUGGAUCCUGAUCCCUCUGCCAUAUCAGCCAGGUGAGGAGAAGGACAGGCCUCUGCCACCAUCAAGGACAACCCAAAUCUCUCCUGAGCCUCGUCCUAAAAGGUUCAGUAAUUUACAGUUCCUUAUGGCAAGACACUUCUUCUGGAAUUGUCGUGAACAUUUUAAAAUGUUAUCAGACAAUAAUUGCUAUCACAACUUUUAAUUCUGUGUUUCUGUUUCAAAUUUUCCUCAGUUCAAUCAGAACCAAAAGUUAAUGCCCGUUGGCUAAUUUCCAGUGCAUGCCUCCACAGAACAACUGCUGCCUUUAACUGGUGGGGAGAUCAAGGCUUGAACUGACAAAAGACAUCUGUAUUUUGGAAAACAAAUUAAUGUUUAUGUUUUAAUUUAUAAGUUCCUGGCUCUUUUAUGGUUCCUGUUUUUCAAGUAAUGUCUCUUUGGAUCCCUAGCUGAUGGAGAGUCAAAAUGGAAAAGGCCCAUGAGAGAAUUAUCACAAUAGAACAUCUGGUCUGCAUUGGAAAAAGCUGAGAAAGAUAUUCAACAUCUCUGAGACUGAGGCAGCCAUGAGGCAGUUUGAAAGUCAGUCCAUGAAAAAUUGUGCAGGUUGUGGCCACCUGGGCCAAUCUAGUGUUGUUUUGGGAAGAGCUACUCUGCUCAUGAACAUCUGAAUUUUAAUCUCCCUUUAGCAUGGAUAUGUGAGAGCUGGCAGUGGUAUGAAAGGUGUUUGCUUUCCAUAAUGUUAAUCUGAGUCCCAGCAUUGUCCUAAUUAUAUUGUGGGUUUUUGCCAGUCUCCCAGAUUUCUUUUGAGCAUGUAGGCUGGAGUCAAAAGGCUUUCCCAGGGCUUUUGGCAUAGCUUGACAGAAAAGUGGAUGGAAAGGACUUUGUAUAUUUUUGGAAGAAUAUUUUGCAUCCUGCUUUAAACUAUUCCAGAAGGUAAAAGGACAUUAGCUAGACUGUGUUGGCUCACACACUGAUAUGUCACUAGUGGCAAGGAGUUUUAUUCCUGUUUUCUGCAGUCACAGACUGUAAAAAAUGCAAAGAAAUCAUGGACCAGCAAGGGCAGUAAAGGUGCCCCUGGAUUCAGAGGGAACAAACUCCUUCCACCACAUGGAACUUCGGUCCUUUAAGUCAUCAUAGCUCAUGCAGAACAGAAACAAUUUGACAUGUAUAACAAGAAACAUUGCAAAUUGUUUGCCAAACAAAGACUUAUACUGCAGAUGGAAGAACUGAUGAAAAUUGUUUAUAGAUGGGGAACUAAAUGUAGAUAUUUUGAGAACAAGGUUGCUGUCUUCCUUGCCAAGACAAACAAAUCUGAUAGACCAUCUCAUUGCUUUAGGCUGCUUGAGGACCCACUGGAAAGUCUAUGGACCUUUUUCCACAGAAAAUUUGUGUAUUGUCAAUACAUAAGUGUAUUGUCCACAGUUACACCAUGGCAGCUGCAGAGGAAAUGGAAGGUUCUCAGGAAUACAUUAGGGAGAGCUGGAUUUUUGGCUUCUGAAAGAGUGUGGAGAGCUUUUGGAAACUGUGGAAGUUUUUAAGCUGGAUGUUACUGCUACAAAAGGUUAUCUGUGAGUUAAACAUAAUAGUAAUUAAUCUGCUGUCUUUAGAUCUUAACACUAACAACACAAUUAAAUUGAGAAUUCCUAUCUUCUACAAUUGCAAUUUCCAAGAUGUCUUCACUCCUGUGAACGUAUCCUGGUCUGCAUUCAGAGAUUUUUCAGUGUUACCUUUAGAAUUCUGUGCACAGAUGUUUUUCCAAAGCACUGUGUAAUCAUCCCAAACAACUGGUUUUAAUGGGCCAGUUAUUUUGGAAAUCACGUAAUGAGAACAUAAAUACAAUCCCUGAUACUGACAUAAAACAUGUAUUAGCAAAAUAAUAUAGUUUGUAUUUCCCUGAUACAGAGCAGACCCUGGAAAUACAUAACUCAUCAUGUCCUUAAACUUCUGUUAUGUCUGUAAACAUCGAUAUUGGCAGAGAGGCCCAGCAGCAUCCUGGGCUGCAUUAGGAAGAGCAUUGCUAGGAAAUCAAAGGAGGUGAUCAUUCCCCUUUGCCCAGCACUGGGGAGACUUCAGUGGGAAUGCUGUGCCCAGUUCUGGGCUCCCUGCAGCAGGGAGGACAUGGACGUGCUGGAGUGAGGGCAGGAAAGGCCUUGGGGAUGGAUAAGAGGAGCAUCUGUCCUGUGGCUGCCCAGGGAGGUUUUGAAGUUGACGUCGUUGAAGAAACUCCAAACUCAACAGAGCAAGGUCCCGAGCACCCUGCCCUGGGUGAUCCAGCUUUGAGCUGGGCUUGGGCUGAGUGAUCUCCGGAGCUGCUUCCAGACUGGGAAUGUUUGAGGCAGUUUGCUUGUGUCUUGUCAGCGUUUUAGCUGCAACUCGACUGUGGAGGAAUCCUAAGGAGAGCAAAGGCUGUGACCCUAGAAAUUCAUCCAGAUGGCUGAGGCCCAGAAAAGGCAUAAUGGGAGCUGCUAAGUAUUCUAAAUGUCUCAUCAGAGUGAUAUUUCACUUGAAAAUACAAAAUAGAAAUUAUUUGGGUCUCAAUGACACUGAAUACCCAUAAUGUUCUCUCACUUCAGCUGGACUGCAGAUGGUAACAACCUCUCUCUAUCUGAACACGCUUGUUUUAGUUUAAUCUUGCUCUGUAAAAUUUUAACCUAUAUUUUUCUCUAGAAAUUAAUACUUGGUGCUUUAUGGUGCAGAAUUUAUUUGCUGGUUUGUUCCACAUUUUCUUUCCUUACUAGUACUGAUAUUAACAAAUUACAAUCUAUUUUGACAUAUUACUUCAGUAAGAAGCACAUAAUAUGUCUCAGGGAGUUGAGAAUAUCAUAAUUUGAGCAAGGUAAAAUCAAAAUAUAUAAUUACAUUGCAUAUUCUAUGGCACUAAGUUUGUAACUAUUCUUACAGUACCUUCAGAAUAAGAAGGAGGAUGAAAUUCAAAAAGGGCUUUCAUAGUUUAAAAAUAUUUAUGUUGAAAGCUUUAUGUUGAAGCAAGAUUUAUGUUGAAAGGCAAAGAAUUUUUAUUUUUUUUUUAAUCAGCUGGAUAGUGGUUGGAAGAUUCACCUGUGGUUUUUCUUUAUGAAAAUGCCAAGGAGCUAACUUGCAGUAUUGAGAAUUUUCAGAUCCUCCUUCUUUUGAAAAUUCUUUGUCUUUUAUAUUGCCUCCAAGGAAAAAGGAAAGCACACUGGAAAACAAGAAAUUGAGCAACAUUGCACAAGCAAUUAGGAAAUAAAUAGAUUAUAAAGCAUUUUAUUUUAUUUUGAUUUUGCACUUCAGCAAGUGAAACAAUAAGUAAAUAACCUGUUUCUUUAUUAUCAAUAUAUGGAGUCACAUGUAUUAGUGACAGACCAAGGCAUAAAUGUAUAAAUAAUAAUAAAUAUAAUAAUAACAAUAAUAAUAUAAAUAAUAUUAAUAAAUAUAAAUAAUAUAAAUGUAUAAAAUAGCACCUGUGAUAAUUAUUAGAGGACAUCAAAUUUUGCUAGGGAUGAGCCCAUUGUGGAAACACAAAAUUAAGACUUCAGACAAAAAUAACACAUGAAGGUCAAAUGUACUUAGUCAUUGGUUGCUGUCUCUGCACCACUUUCCCCUGACUUAAUGCUUUUACAGCACAUCUCUGAUUCAGUCUCCCCUGUCCUGUGUGGGAUGGGGUUUUUGGUGGGGAGAAUAUUACUUUAAAUUGACACCUCUAGCAGCAAUUCCUACUUGUACUGAUUUCCUUUUAUAAAUGUGUAACCUAUUAUAUCUAUCCAAGCCUGGCUGAGCUCCAAGUCACCCAUUUCUCAGUAAUACAGGAAAUUAAAUCUAAUGUCUAAUAAGCAUAGAGGCUUAUGCAACCUUCAUUCCCUGUAAAAAUAUAAUAAUAUUACCUUGUCUUUUGAUAGCUAGAGAGUUGGGCACUUAGUUUUUAUGUAGACCAAAGUGGCUCUGCAUUUGGCCUUGAGGAGUCUGGGUUUAUCCAUCCUUUUUUGCAGACUUACUGAAUUUCACCUCAAAAAUUCUCCCCUUAUUAAAGGCCCCCCCUGAAUUGUUCAUGUGUAGGGUUUGGUCCCUUUCACCACUUCUCGCUGUGGUAGGAACCUCCUUUGUUCCCACAGAGGGCUCUGUCCCCCGUGAUCUCAUCCUGGGAGUGCUGCUGCUUUCUUGUUCAUUCUCUCUCUCCCAGGAUUUUUCCAGCCUGAACAGAUUUCUGCCUGUUCCAUCUCAUUUUCUGAUAAUACCACCACAGCUCUGUGUCAGUUGGUGCAGCCUUUAAAAAUGCAGAAAUCUGAUUUUAGGCCAUACAGGUUAACAUAAUUUCAAGGCUUUGUCUCCUGCAUGUACUGGUUCAAUAAGUGGAUUUAUACUGGAUAAUUUUAAACUGUUACAGCCGUCUGAUAGCAUUUCUCUCUUGCUGCUGUAAUACAUAAAGUGACAUAAGGUCACUGAUGCUGUGGAAAUUGGUUUUGGAGAUGAUAUGCUAAUUCAGCAAGAAAUCAGUUCUAGCAGAAUCGCAAAGAAAAUUAUUUUAAUCUAGUGUCAUGCUACUUUGUUGGCUUUUAGGAAAGAGAUAAUUAAAAUAUUCAAGGGAGUUCCAAGUCUGUGGAAAAAAAUACCAUUUUGGAGAUUUAAGGUUAUUUUUGCCUCACAGUUUAUUAGCAUCUUUUCUGAAAGCAAGUUGAAUGUGAUGGGCACAAAUGUGACAUUUUCACAUGCUGAAAAAAGUAAGAAAUAAGAUAUUUCUUAAAGCUGAGUUCUGUAUAAGAAUAAACUUGGUUCAGUCUUUUCUGUGUCACUCACCCCAUGUUUACAGUAACUGCUCCUGCAAUUUUGUGGAUGAAAACUUCCAUGCAGAUACGUCCAGGGCCAUUAAUGAGGCUGCAUUAUGCAACUAAUUGCAACGGAGAACAAAAUUACAUUAAUGGUGCCUGAGGAGAAAGAGAAUCUCUGCACUCAGUGUGAGUAAGGGGUAGCCAAUGCCUUACUUUUUCCAAAACAAAUAUUUAAGUUAAAUUGAGAACAAUAGUUGAUAUCUGAGAAUGAUCACUAGGAGUUUGAAAGCCCUAUAUUUUUUCAAAACACUGUCUUAUGCUAAGGAAUUUCCAAGCUCAAAAAAUAAAAUAACUGUAAUGUUCACUGUAUGAGUAUGCCAAAGGAAAAAAAUUGCCUCUUUCAUAAACUCUUUCAUCUUUUUGAGAUAAAGAACAGAGAAAAUGCAUUUCUAAGAACUUUUUUUUUUUAAUGUCUGAAUUGUAAGAGUAGUGCUGUCAUUGUCAUAUUUUAAAAGAAAUUUUAAUUCUAUAAUAAAGAAAAAAAGUUGUCAUUUUACACUCUGUUCUUUCAUAAAGCAGGUACAAUGCUGCUGUUUGUGGAGGAAGGACACCAGCUGCAACAAGAGUAGUGUCUGUUCUAGAGUGAGGGAUGAGCUCCACUGGAGAUGAGUUGGCUUCCCUGGCUGCAGUGCUCAGCAUUUCAUUUUAGCAACUCUGAGACUGAUCCAAGUCUUUGUCUCCUCCUGCACUUUAUGCUAAUGCAAGUACCAGCUUGUGUGUUAUUGAAGAGAGAGAAAUAGAAAAUGCAAUUCAAUGUUUUAUUUCAUGCUCCCCAAGCUUAUUCAGACAGACACACCCAGAGUGAAUGUGUGCUGCACUCAACUUGGAGAUCUUGUGUUAUAAAUUCUGGCUCCCCUGUGCUUUCCUGCUUUGCCCAUAGAGCAGAUAAGGGAGUUCAUAACAGGAACACCCUGUUACCUCAGCUGCAGAAGGUUCUGAGAAUUUAAUGGCCAAGAGAGUGGAAUUUAAAUUUAUUUUUGUUCAGCUUGUGUCAGCAAGCAUUUAAAAGAUCCACCAAUUUAUCUUUGUCAGAGAUUGUUUUUCUUUUGGCUUAGCUUGGACACAAAUCUCACUGUUGGGCUUAUAUUUAUGGAGCAGGACCCAAGGUUUCUCCAUGUGUUCAGUAUUAGGAUUUCGACUUUGCAAGUCUUGUUGCUUGAGAUAGGUGUAAAAGUCAUGUCUGCAUGUACAGCAGGAACAGAACUGGGGUUUGGAUGCUGCUACUUAGUCAAUUGAGAAGGAACAAAAGUAGUUUUGAAGGCUGCCUCUCUUCAGGUAAAA